Molecule: long non-coding RNA, 5352 nt
Filed under: Malus domestica (apple)
Lineage: Eukaryota; Viridiplantae; Streptophyta; Magnoliopsida; Rosales; Rosaceae
Description: long non-coding RNA (MDOM_LNC001076)
Source: RNAcentral
AUGUUGAAUUAUGUGGCCAAGUGGCCAUAUACUUUAGAAUAAACAAACCAAAAGUGGACAACAUAUUUCCUUGUUUUGGGGAGGAAAACAUGGAUCUUGUCUAAAGGUUUUUUGUUCUUUGGUCCAUGUGAGAAGUCACGGGGUGACUUAAUGAAUUUGAGCAGCAAUUGCUGCUUUGGUUGUAAGAGAAGAAAGACAGUCGGAUAACAGAGAGAAGAAGGGAGCAGCAGAAAGAAGAAGAGAGGUACGCAGCUUCCAUAUAAGAAAGAAAUGUGAUUUUCUUUCUUGGUUGGUUCUCACUCCAUCAAAGUAUUAUUAUUGUAAUAGCUUUGAGCUUUGUAUAGAGAAGAAAUUAAUCACUAUAUUUCUUUCUCUAUUUGUUUCCUUGGUGUGUGAGAGCUAUUGGGUGUAUUGGGUUAUUUGGGUUGUGAGAUUGCCAACACUUUGUAAACUCCCAUUUGGUUGAUAGUGGAUUAUUGGGUGAGCUCCUACUGCUCCGAGGACGUACUCCAGUUACACUGACUGUGGAGGAACCUCGUUAAAAAUCUUGGUGUUAUUUAUAUAUUGUUCUUGCAUUUUCAUUUGAUAAAUUUCCUGUGAGUUAGAUUGAGUUGGUUCCAUAAGGUUUGGUGCUAUCCUAGCACAACAAUUGGUAUCAGAGCACUGGUUGCUCUUGGGUACUGUCUAGUUGCCAAAGAUGUCAGAUGGGCAAGAUGAAAAUCCUUUUGGAAGCAGCUCCGGGUUUGCAAGAACGACGGUGCAAAAUGCAAAGUUCGAAGUGGAAAAGUUUGAUGGCACAAACAACUUCGGGAUGUGGCAAUGUGAGGUCAAAGAUGUGUUGGCUCAACAAGAUCUACUUGCCGCUUUGGGAGAGAAGCCGGAAAACUAUGUCGAAGCCGGAAUGGGAAAAAUUAAAUUUGUGGGCUUGCUCUUCAAUUCGGUUGUGCCUUGCAAAAACUCAGAAGUAUUUUGUGAUGCGGGAGACGGUAGCAAGUGUGUUGUGGCAAAAAUUGGAAGACAAGUAUAUGACGAAGAGUGCAGAGAACCGGCUACACUUGAAGAAAAAGCUCUACCGCUUCCAAUACAAAGAAGGUACAAAAAAUGAUUAGACACCUUGAUGCUUUUAAUAAGUUGAUUGCCGACUUGUUAAAUUUAGAUGAGGAUAUUAAGGAUGAAGAUAAGGCCUUAAUAUUGUUGAAUUCCUUGCCGGACUCUUAUGAGCAUUUUGUUACCACUAUUAUGCAUGGUAAAGAAACUGUGAAAUUUGAAGAUGUGUCAAAUGCCUUGAUGAAUUAUGAAAUGAGGCAUAGAGAUAAAAAUCAUGAUAGUACCUCUGAAGCUUUAUUUGUUAGAGGUAGAUCAUCGGAGAGGAAGUCAUCUUCUAGUAGAAAAAAAUCACACUCUCGACCUAGAGGAAACUCUCUAAAGGUAGAAAAACCUUGGAAAGAGAUGAAUGUGCCUUUUGUCAUAAUAAGGGCCAUUGGAAGAAAGAUUGUCCUAAGUUGAAGACCAAAGGAAAAGAAAGUUCUAAAGCCAAUGUUGCUGAGGUUGAAACAGAUGUUUUUGAUUUUGCUUUAACCACUUCCUCAUCAUUUGAUUGUGCUACUAAGUGGGUGUUGGAUACGGGUUGUACUCAUCAUAUGACUCCUCACAAGGAUUGGUUUUCAAGCUUGAAAGAGUUUGAUGGUGGCGUUGUGUUCAUGGGAGAUGACAAUCCUUGCACAACAAAAGGGAUUGGUACAGUUCGGUUGAAGUUGCAUGAUGGCAUGGUUAAAGAGUUGACAGGUGUUCGGUAUGUACCGAAUUUGAAGAAAAAUCUUAUUUCUUUAGGUACUUUGGAAUCCAAGGGUUUCAGGUUUCAUUCAGAUGGGCAGACAUUAAAAGUUACUUAUGGUGCACUUGUUGUGAUGAAAGCUCCUAGAUGUGGCCAUUUGUAUUUAUUGCAGGGAAGCACUGUGACAGGUGAAGCAUCUGUAGUUUCUGAAAAUAUGGGCACAUUUGAUUCAGAUACUACUAGACUGUGGCAUAUGAGAUUAGGCCAUGCCGGUGAGAAAGCUCUACAAGGGCUUGUGAAAAAAGGUCUUCUAAAAGGUGCCACGACUUGUAAGCUUGAUUUCUGCGAGCAUUGUGUCUUGGGGAAGCAAACUAGAGUGAAGUUUGGUACUGCUGUACAUCAGACGAAGGGCAUUCUUGAUUAUGUGCAUUCGGAUGUUUGGGGUCCUACAAAGACUCCCUCUUUGAGUGGUAGACAUUGGUUCGUGACCUUUUGUUGAUGAUUAUUCAAGAAGGUCUUGGGUUUACACUACGAAGCACAAGAGUGAGGUGUUAAGCAUUUUCUUGGGAUGGAAGAAAAUGGUUGAGAACCAGACUGGGAGAAAGAUUAAGAUUUUGAGAUCGGAUAAUGGUGGUGAAUACACAUCCGACCCUUUCUUUAAAAGUUUGCAAAGAAGAAGGAAUUGUGAGACAUUUUAGUGUUCGGGGAACUCCACAACAAAAUGGAGUUGCAGAAAGAUUGAAUCGAACCUUGCUUGAGAAGGUUAGAUGUAUGUUGUCUCAGUCGGGUUUAAGCAAGUCAUUUUGGGCAGAGGCAGUUAAUUAUGCCUGUCACAUCAUCAACCGGUUACCCUCAGCUGCUAUUCAGGGUAAGACACCAAUGGAGGUAUGGACUGGAAAACCUUCUUCUGAUUAUGAUCAUAUUCGUAUUUUUGGUUCACCUGCUUAUUUUCAUGUAACUGAAAAUAAACUUGAUCCUAGACCCAAAAAGACUAUCUUUCUUGGUUUUAGUAGUGGUGUCAAAGGUUACAGGUUGUGGUGCCCAGAGAUGAAAAAAAUUGUAAUCAGCAGAGAUGUGACAUUUGAUGAAGAAAGUAUGUACAAAGUCUCUGAGAAGAAUGUGAAAGAUGUCCAACAGGUGGAGCUUGAGAAAGUUGCCUCUGGUACUUCAAAUCCUAUUUCCGCUGAUGUCGAAGCCACUACAAGUGAAGAAGUUGGAGACCAUGAGGAUGUUGAAGAAGUUGAACUUGAAGAUUCUAUUCAAGUUGAAGAGCAAGUUUCACCUCAAGAGUCUAUUGCCAAGAACAGAGGAAAGAGACAAAUUACCAAGCCAGCUCGGUAUAGUGACUAUGUUUCUUUUGCUCUUCCUAUUAUCACUGAUGAGAGAUUCCAUCUAAUUUUGAGGAAGCUAUUGAGAGUGAAGAAAAGGAGAGGUGGUGCAAUGCCAUGGGUAAUGAGAUGAAUUCUCUCUUGAAAAAACAAGACUUGGGAGUUAGCUAAAUUGCCUAAGGGCAAGAAAGCUAUUGGUUGCAAAUGGGUGUAUGCCAAGAAGGAAGAUGCUGUGAUGAGAAAAGCAAUGUGAGAUUUAAAGCAAGAUUAGUUGCUAAAGGGUAUGCACAAAAAGGAGGGCAUUGACUACAAUGAAAUCUUUUCUCCGGUUGUGAAGCACUCCUCAAUUCGCAUUAUGUUAGCUCUUGUUGCACAGUAUGAUCUUGAGCUUGUGCAACUUGAUGUAAAAACGGCUUUCCUACAUGGUGAUUUGAAUGAAGAGAUUUAUAUGUGUCAACCAGAUGGGUAUAUAUAGUGAAAGGGAAGGAGAAUUUGUUUUGCAAAUUGAAGAAAUCACUUUAUGGCUUGAAGCAAUCUCCAAGGCAAUGGUAUUUGAGGUUUGAUAAAUUUAUGAGAGGCCAAAAUUAUUCUAGAAAGUCAAUAUGAUCAUUGUGUGUACUUCAAGAAGUUGCAAGAUGGGUCUUUCAUUUAUUUAUUGAUAUAUGUUGAUGAUAUGUUGAUUGCCUCAAAGAAUGUCGAAGAGAUUGAGAAAUUGAAGAAGCAAAAUGAAGAAUGAGUUUGAGAUGAAGGAUCUUGGUGAAGCGAAGAAGAUCCUUGGCAUGGAGAUCACUAGAGAUAGAGCAAAGGGUUUCGUCAGUUUGAAUAAAAAACAAUACCUUGAGAAGUUGAUUCGGAAGUUUGGAGUUCAUGAUUCAACCAAACCGGUUAGUACCCCUUUGGCUUCUCAUUUUAAAUUGAGUUCUCUACAAUGUCCCUAAAACUGAUAAAGAGAAACUGCAAAUGAAAAAUAUACCAUAUGCAAAUUUGGUUGGUAGUUUGAUGUAUGCAAUGGUAUGCUCUAGACCGGAUAUUGCUCAUGCAGUUGGCAUGGUGAGUCGAUAUAUGCAUAAUCCAGGUAAAAGAGCAUUGGCAAGCAGCUAAGUGGAUAUUGAGGUAUCUCCAUGGUACUCGAGAUGUUGGUUUAUGCUUUGAGAGGGAUGACUCUGGUAUUGGUCAUUUUGCAGUUGGUUAUGUUGAUUCAGAUUAUGCAGGUGAUCUGGAUGGAAGGAAGUCUACUACAGGCUAUGUGUUUACUAUGGCUAAAGGGCCAGUUUGUUGGAGGUCCAUUUUGCAGUCGUCUGUUGCCUUGUCUACUACAGAGGCUAAAAUAUAUGGCAGUUGCUGAAGCUAUAAAGGAGGCCAUUUGGAUACAUGGGCUUAUUACAGAUUUGGGGGUUGAUCAGAAGCAGGUGGAGGUACAUUGUGAUAGUCAGAGUGCCAUUUAUUUGGCUAAGUAUCAGGUUCAUCAUGCGAGGACCAAGCACAUAGAUGUGCGUUAUCACUUUGUUUCGUGAAAUUGUUGGUGAAGGGGAAAUCAUUCUCCAGAAGAUUCCAACUAAAGACAACCCCGCUGAUAUGUUGACUAAGGUUGUUGGUGUAGCCAAGUUUUGUUCACUGUUUGAACUUGGCUCACAUUUUGCCUAUAUAAAGAAGGCGUUGAGUAGUAGGAGUUUUGGAGCAUUUGGCUCGGCAUGAGUUGUUUCUCUUGCUAGUGUUUGGGAGUGAUGUUGUGUGCUAAUUGUGUUGGUUGGCUUAUCAUGUCGUUUUCGGAACUUGGCCAAGGUGGAGAUUGUUGAAUUAUGUGGCCAAGUGGCCAUAUACUUUAGACUAAACAAACCAAAAGUGGACAACAUAUUUCCUUGUUUUGGGGAGGAAAACAUGGAUCUUGUCUAAAGGUUUUUUGUUCUUUGGUCCCUGUGAGAAGUCACGGGGUGACUUAAUGAAUUUGAGCAGCAAUUGCUGCUUUGGUUGUAAGAGAAGAAAGACAGUCGGAUAACAGAGAGAAGAAGGGAGCAGCAGAAAGAAGAAGAGAGGUACGCAGCUUCCAUAUAAGAAAGAAAUGUGAUUUUCUUUCUUGGUUGGUUCUCACUCCAUCAAAGUAUUAUUAUUGUAAUAGCUUUGAGCUUUGUAUAGAGAAGAAAUUAAUCACUAUAUUUCUUUCUCUAUUUGUUUCCUUGGUGUGUGAGAGCUAUUGGGUGUAUUGGGUUAUUUGGGUUGUGAGAUUGCCAACACUUUGUAAACUCCCAUUUG